GAUGAACGCUGGCGGCGUGCCUAAUACAUGCAAGUCGAGCGAACGGACGAGAAGCUUGCUUCUCUUAUGUUAGCGGCGGACGGGUGAGUAACACGUGGAUAACCUACCUAUAAGACUGGGAUAACUUCGGGAAACCGGAGCUAAUACCGGAUGAUAUUUUGAACCGCAUGGUUCAAAAGUGAAAGACGUUCUUGCUGUCACUUAUAGAUGGAUCCGCGCUGCAUUAGCUAGUUGGUAAGGUAACGGCUUACCAAGGCAACGAUGCAUAGCCGACCUGAGAGGGUGAUCGGCCACACUGGAACUGAGACACGGUCCAGACUCCUACGGGAGGCAGCAGUAGGGAAUCUUCCGCAAUGGGCGAAAGCCUGACGGAGCAACGCCGCGUGAGUGAUGAAGGUCUUCGGAUCGUAAAACUCUGUUAUUAGGGAAGAACAUAUGUGUAAGUAACUGUGCACAUCUUGACGGUACCUAAACAGAAAGCCACGGCUAACUACGUG
This 497-nucleotide ribosomal RNA is filed under the name uncultured bacterium. RNAcentral's name for it is "partial 16S ribosomal RNA". It matches the Rfam family "Bacterial small subunit ribosomal RNA", at positions 28 to 507 of the family's 1533-position model. The record is from RNAcentral.